This 552-nucleotide ribosomal RNA is filed under the name Bifidobacterium longum subsp. suillum. RNAcentral describes it as "bacterial SSU rRNA". It matches the Rfam family "Bacterial small subunit ribosomal RNA", at positions 146 to 713 of the family's 1533-position model. Lineage: Bacteria; Bacillati; Actinomycetota; Actinomycetes; Bifidobacteriales; Bifidobacteriaceae. The record is from RNAcentral.
UCUCCUGGAAACGGGUGGUAAUGCCGGAUGCUCCAGUUGAUCGCAUGGUCUUCUGGGAAAGCUUUCGCGGUAUGGGAUGGGGUCGCGUCCUAUCAGCUUGACGGCGGGGUAACGGCCCACCGUGGCUUCGACGGGUAGCCGGCCUGAGAGGGCGACCGGCCACAUUGGGACUGAGAUACGGCCCAGACUCCUACGGGAGGCAGCAGUGGGGAAUAUUGCACAAUGGGCGCAAGCCUGAUGCAGCGACGCCGCGUGAGGGAUGGAGGCCUUCGGGUUGUAAACCUCUUUUAUCGGGGAGCAAGCGAGAGUGAGUUUACCCGUUGAAUAAGCACCGGCUAACUACGUGCCAGCAGCCGCGGUAAUACGUAGGGUGCAAGCGUUAUCCGGAAUUAUUGGGCGUAAAGGGCUCGUAGGCGGUUCGUCGCGUCCGGUGUGAAAGUCCAUCGCUUAACGGUGGAUUCGCGCCGGGUACGGGCGGGCUUGAGUGCGGUAGGGGAGACUGGAAUUCCCGGUGUAACGGUGGAAUGUGUAGAUAUCGGGAAGAACACCAAA